GUAUGUUUCAUUUUUCACGCGUGGUUUAAUAAGUGCCCAUGUUGUAAUUUCCCAUUUGUGGAAAUGUCCCAAAAAUUGGGAUGCAAACAAUGGGAUGAUUUAACAGUGUUUUUGUUUUGUUUUGUUUUGUUUUAAUUGACUGAAGACCAUAGUAAAGAGAGCAACUUGGAAGCAAGGCCGAGAGGUCUCAGUUGUCCGCCAUUUAUCCUUGGCUAACGUAUAAGUGGUGGAGACACAACUUGUUACCCCGGCUUGAUCUUCAUAUCACACCAGCCGCCACCGGGAGCCUUGUCUGCGCUCAUCUCAUCCAGCGCCCCCAUUUUGUGGCCAACCACAUUGAAAAUGACACCGCAAACAGGGCAAGUUGGUUGAGUACUUCCUCCCUAAUAUUUCUUUGUGUUAUUCCAGAAGACAGGGGACAAUGUUGGGUGUCACGUGACUGCUGUAUUUGGCUCCCAAGAGAAGAUUUUGAAGGGUGUACCUAAUGAAGUGACCGCGGGCGUGCGCUUUUCAUCAGGACCACUUGAGGCUGUAGCGCAGACGGACUUCCCACGCCUGCAGCGUCUCCUUGCUUUCGAAACCCAACAGAGCCGCCUGGGUCAGGCAGAGAAUGGCCA
Molecule: long non-coding RNA, 617 nt
Organism: Hippocampus zosterae (dwarf seahorse)
Lineage: Eukaryota; Metazoa; Chordata; Actinopteri; Syngnathiformes; Syngnathidae
Exons: 3
Source: RefSeq, a predicted model, not a curated record